CCCAUUGGUUCGUCAUACAUGUUAAUGAAACAAAGUUUUGGUAGUUUAUUAAAGUUUCUAGGCGAUAGCAAUGAUAAAUUCGUGUACAUUUUAUGCAAUUGUACAUGUUUAAUCAAAUUCAAGUAUUAUUUCUUUUGGUUUUUGUUAUUUUAUAAUGGAUUAAAUUGAAAAUUAAGAAGAUUUAGAUUUGGAGUUAUAAAAGUCAGUAGCAAGUGAACGUUUGGAAACCAAGCGAUAAAAAUAAGAUAAAAACACGACAAGAUUGUGUAACAAUUUUACAUCGUACUGCAGCGCAAACAAAUAAUUCGGCAUAGGAACAACAAAUCACAAGGGUUUUAAUUUUUCAUUUUUUCUUUUUAAUUUAAUAAACAUUCAUAUAGUAUUCUUGGAGUUUAUAGAUAAUAUUAAUAGUAUUUAAUAAUAUACUGUACAAUAAAAUCUGUCAUAUUUUUGUAUCUCUUAAAUACAUUAAGUGAUUUUCA
Molecule: long non-coding RNA, 482 nt
Organism: Dalotia coriaria
Lineage: Eukaryota; Metazoa; Arthropoda; Insecta; Coleoptera; Staphylinidae
Exons: 2
Source: RefSeq, a predicted model, not a curated record